UAAGGAAUAUUGGACAAUGGAGGCAACUCUGAUCCAGCCAUGCCGCGUGAAGGAAUAAGGCCCUAUGGGUUGUAAACUUCUUUUAGACGGGACAAAACCCCUUGACGUGUAAAGGGUUGAUGGUACUGUCAGAAUAAGCAUCGGCUAACUUCGUGCCAGCAGCCGCGGUAAUACGAAGGAUGCAAGCGUUAUCCGGAAUUAUUGGGUUUAAAGGGUGCGUAGGCGGACUAAUAAGUCAGUGGUGAAAGCCUGCAGCUUAACUGCAGAAUUGCCAUUGAUACUGUUAGUCUUGAGUACAGUUGAGGUAGGCGGAAUGUGUCAUGUAGCGGUGAAAUGCUUAGAUAUGACACAGAACACCGAUUGCGAAGGCAGCUUGCUAAGCUGUAACUGACGCUGAGGCACGAAAGCGUGGGGAGCAAACA
RNAcentral lists this ribosomal RNA (422 nucleotides) under uncultured bacterium. Its description in RNAcentral is "bacterial SSU rRNA". It matches the Rfam family "Bacterial small subunit ribosomal RNA", at positions 355 to 774 of the family's 1533-position model. The record is from RNAcentral.